Molecule: ribosomal RNA, 282 nt
Filed under: uncultured bacterium
Lineage: Bacteria
Description: partial 16S ribosomal RNA
Rfam family: Bacterial small subunit ribosomal RNA
Source: RNAcentral
CAAGUCGAACGAACGACCCCGGGCUUGCCUGGGGAAGUUAGUGGCGAACGGCUGAGUAACGCGUAGGUGACCUGCCCAGAAGUGGGGAAUAACUGCCCGAAAGGGUGGCUAAUACCGCAUGUGGCCACACGUUCAUUCGUGUGACGAAAGCCGAAAGGCGCUUUUGGAGGGGCCUGCGUUCGAUUAGCUCGUUGGUGAGGUAACGGCUCACCAAGGCGACGAUCGAUAGGUGGUCUGAGAGGACGAUCACCCAGACUGGGACUGAGGCACGGCCCAGACUCC